This is a long non-coding RNA of Homo sapiens (human), 2221 nucleotides long. Ensembl annotates it as long intergenic non-protein coding RNA 2554. The record is from Ensembl. Lineage: Eukaryota; Metazoa; Chordata; Mammalia; Primates; Hominidae.
GUCCCUGGCAUGAGCUACCCAUCACUGUCUUAUGCUCAGUGACCCAGGACCACCUAUGAGCAUCUGGGCCCAAGAGAUGAUCUCAAACUUUUCACAAUUAUUUCAGGUAUCAACAAGAUGGAAAUAAAGCCAAAAGCUGUGCUGAGAUUCAACCAUCAACAUCCCAAAAGGAAUAUUCUGUUUCCCAGCAUUUCUUGCCAAGGAUGAUCUCAGAUUCGUCUGUUUCCAUUCACUAUAAGAAAAAUAUUCUGAGCACCUGCUAUGCGCCAAGCGUUGUGCUAUGUAGUGGGGGCACAACUGCAGGGAAACCAGACAUGGUCCCUCCCUGCCUCCUGGCAUUUAGAGCCAAGACAGAGGGUCAGAUUAUAAAUGAACACAGGCACCAUGAUUAUUUCAUCUCAAACUCUGGUUGGUGCUAUGGGAAAGGAGCAGUGAUCUUUGAGACCUGAGAGGGGGUCCUGAUGGAGCAGACACCAGCAGAAGGAUCCUUCCGGGAAGUGACGUUGAAGCUAAGCUUGAAAAGAAAGAAGCCAGUGGACAUCUUCUGGUGAGACCCAGAGCACCCCACCUGCAAGGGGCCUGAUCUCCCUUGAACCAAGAGCCCUGCCACUCGCCCCAGCUGCCUAAAGGCUGACAGGAGAAGAGGGAGUCAGAAUGGUGCUCCAAACAGAGCUCACUGGAAUCUCAGCUCAGCCAUUUACUUGCUCUGUCAACUUGGGCUCUCGCUGCAGGUACCUGAGACUGUUUUCUCGCCUGUAAAAUUGGAAGGUGUUAUGGGUUGAAUUGCUUCCCCCAAAAAUAUGUUGAGGUCUUAACCCCUUGAAAUGUGACCUGAGUUGGAAAUGGGAUCUUUGCAGAUGUCAUUAGUGAAGACGAAGUCACACUGGAGUAGGCUGGGCCCUAAAUCAAAUGGCUGUUAGUUUUAUAAGAAGAGGGAAAUUUGGACACAGACACACACAAAGAGGAACAACCAGCGUGUGAAGACAGAGGCAGAGAUUGGAAUGAGGCAGCCACAAGCCAAUGAACCGCUGCAGCUCCCAGAGGCCAGAAGAGGCAAGGGAAUAUCCUCCCCUAGAGGCUGCAGAGGGAGCACAGCCCUGCCAGUGCCUUGAUUCGAGACUUCGAGACUUCCAGCCUCCAGAACUGGGAAAGAAUAAAUAUCUGCUGUUUUAAGCACUUUGGUUUGUGGUGCUUUGUCACUGGCAGCCCUGGGAGUAGUCCAGAAUUAUAACCCCUACCUUCCCCGAGGACUGCUUGUCCAGAGGGUUCCCCAGGGUCCCAUUCUUAACAGAUCCUCCUUGAAUGCCCUGCAGCCACCGCUGAUGUGCUGGAAGUCACUUCUGCUGGCUUUGAUGAAGGGAAGGAAGCAGAUGAGAAAGAGGGUGUAUAUGAGUGACUCAUUGAACCUAUUGUCUAUCCAUAGAGAGAGGGGACGAGAGAGUGCCUUGUCCCCAAGACCUGGGCCCACAGUGGCCCCUUAAGUAAGUUCAGGCCCUCUCACCUGGGCAGGGGUCAGAAGCCUAGAGCAACAGCAACCACUGAAAGCCCUCAGCACUCCACUUAGGCCUCCACUCCAGAGCCUCAGAGCUGCCAGCUUCUUCUCCCUGAUACCCCUGCAGAAACUCAGCCACCUUCUAUUUAGAAGGAUCAGCCAUCAGAUGCUUCUAAAUAAAUCCAAUCCCUCCACCCUCCUGCUUUCCACUUGCAACUGUCUCUGUCCACUGGCACUUGGACCCAAGAGCUAAUUGCAGAAGCUUCAUCUUAAAGGAAACCACAAACACGCUCUCACCCACGUUUUACGACUUUAUAACUCACCAAAUAAACCUGAUUCCUAUAACCAUAAAACAAAGCCGAAAUGAGUUGGACAUGUACCAGCGAGGAGAAGCAGGAGGCGGGUGGAGAUUGCCAGAGGGGGCUCUCAGCUGUGGAGUCGCGGCUCUCCGUGUGGAUUUCGGCAUCUCAGUCUUGCAGAAACUUAAUAUUCCAAUCAGCACCCAAGCAAGGCGUUGGAAGCCAAGGAGUGCAUGAGUGCCCCCAUAGCUGGGGGAAUAUUACUCACCAGGUCAUGGUCGGCUGCGUAAAAUACAACCCUCAUAUAUCAUUAUAACUGCCAGCCAACGACAGUUAUAAUUGAGACGGCAAUAACUAGGAGAGAGUUCUUUAAUUUAACAUCCAAUUAUUACAAGUUAUCACUUCUUAAUAAAUGUAAUAUAACAGACAA